UACGGAAGGGGCAAGCGUUGUUCGGAAUUAUUGGGCGUAAAGGGCGCGUAGGCGGCUUUGCAAGUGACGGGUGAAAGCCCUCGGCUUAACCGAGGAACUGCCUGUCAGACUGGAAGGCUUGAGACCGGGAGAGGUGAGUGGAAUUCCCAGUGUAGCGGUGAAAUGCGCAGAUAUCAGGAAGAACACCCGUGGCGAAGGCGGCUCUCUGGGACGGUACUGACGCUGAGACGCGAAAGCGUGGGGAGCGAACAGG
Molecule: ribosomal RNA, 253 nt
Filed under: uncultured bacterium
Lineage: Bacteria
Description: partial 16S ribosomal RNA
Rfam family: Bacterial small subunit ribosomal RNA
Source: RNAcentral